RNAcentral lists this ribosomal RNA (465 nucleotides) under uncultured bacterium. RNAcentral's name for it is "partial 16S ribosomal RNA". It matches the Rfam family "Bacterial small subunit ribosomal RNA", at positions 338 to 795 of the family's 1533-position model. The record is from RNAcentral.
CCUACGGGAGGCAGCAGUAGGGAAUCUUCCACAAUGGACGAAAGUCUGAUGGAGCAACGCCGCGUGAGUGAAGAAGGGUUUCGGCUCGGAAAGCUCUGUUUGUAGUGAAGAAAGAUAGAGUUAGUAACUGUCCUUUAUUUGACGGUAAUUACUUAGAAAGGCACGGCUAACUACGUGCCGGCAGCCGCGGUAAUACGUAGGUGGCAAGCGUUGUCCGGAUUGAUUGGGCGUAAAGCGAGUGCAGGCGGUUCAAUAAGUCUGAUGUGAAAGCCUUCGGCUCAACCGGGGAAUUGCAUCAGAAACUGUUGACCUUGAGUGCAGAAGCGGAGAGUGGAACUCAAGGUGUAGCGGUGGAAUGCGUAGAUAUAUGGCAGAACACCAGUGGCGAAGGCGGCUCUCUAGUCUGCAACUGACGCUGAGGCUCGAAAGCAUGGGUAGCGAACAGGAUUAGAUACCCGUGUAGUC